GUAAAAAUUGGAGAGAUUGUUAUGAACGUACAAAAUUUAUAUAUAUGAACUGAAAAGUAAAAAGAUGACUGUGUCGGCUGUGUUGGUUUCGAUUAGCAUCAGCCCAUCUCUUUCCGCGAAUAUCGUAGAAGGCAAUUAUGGAAUAGGCAUGAUGACAGUGGUCAAGUAUCGCCAAAAUAUUUAAUUGAUCUAAUGAAACAGGAUUCAAGGAUUUUGAAAAAUGUAUUUAUUUUCAUAAAUAUGAUUCAUUUCAUUCAUUCAGAUGUAUGAUGUUAAAAUAAAUCUACAAAAUACAACAAUCAGCCAUGAUAGCUUAAACACCAAUCAGAGCGAAUUACGCUAAAAAUUCCGCCUUUAUUUUCUACAGAAAUAUGAUAUAUUUUUGAUAUAAUAGAUACUUCUUAAUAUCAUAGAAUAGAUUUUGAAAAUUAGUCAUCAUGCCUAUUCACCGGAGAAAGGGCAGCAGUGUUCUCAGAAUGCAUCAGUGUACUGCGAUCGCUAAUCGGUAUUUAAUGGUAUUGUAGGGUAUCCCAUUCUGAAUACCGGACAUAGGACUACUUUGCUGCAAGUACUUAAAGGAGGGGGAGGAAACAAUUCCUACUUGAUUGGAAUGAAACUAAGCUUACUACUAGUAGAAUAAAAUUAAACAACUGAACAGUUUU
Long non-coding RNA from Bombyx mori (domestic silkworm), 662 nucleotides. RefSeq lists it as uncharacterized. The record is from RefSeq and is a predicted model, not a curated record. The transcript is spliced from 2 exons. NCBI's taxonomy places the organism in Eukaryota, Metazoa, Arthropoda, Insecta, Lepidoptera, Bombycidae.